RNAcentral lists this transfer RNA (61 nucleotides) under Dipodomys ordii (Ord's kangaroo rat). The record is from Rfam by way of RNAcentral. Lineage: Eukaryota; Metazoa; Chordata; Mammalia; Rodentia; Heteromyidae.
GGCACUGUGGCUCAAGUGGUAGAGCGCUUUCCUUGAAAUGAAGAACUCAGGGGCAGUGCCC